GGCCAGCAUCAGUUUGAGUGGUUAGAUAAAGGCUUAGAGAAUGUGGCAUCUUCGGAUGUGUUAUAGCUCUGGGUCACAUACAUCGGCUGGGACUGAGGAACUCAGCACGCCGCAAGGCCGGGUUUCGACCACGUUCGUGCUUAGGAUGCUGGCAUAAUGGCUUUAAUCGA
RNAcentral lists this ribosomal RNA (170 nucleotides) under Mycena sp. Its description in RNAcentral is "partial large subunit ribosomal RNA". The record is from RNAcentral. Lineage: Eukaryota; Fungi; Basidiomycota; Agaricomycetes; Agaricales; Mycenaceae.